RNAcentral lists this ribosomal RNA (252 nucleotides) under uncultured bacterium. RNAcentral's name for it is "partial 16S ribosomal RNA". It matches the Rfam family "Bacterial small subunit ribosomal RNA", at positions 524 to 776 of the family's 1533-position model. The record is from RNAcentral.
AACGUAGGGCGAGAGCGUUAUCCGUAUUCACUGGGCGUCAAGCGCGUUGAGGCGGCUCCGUAAGUUGGGCGUGAAAGCCCCGGGCUUAACCCGGGGAGGCCGUCCAAUACUGCGGGGCUUGAGGGCAGCAGAGGGAGGUGGAAUUCCCGGUGUAGUGGUGAAAUGCGUAGAUAUCGGGAGGAACACCCGUGGCGAAGGCGGCCUAAUGGGCUGCUACUGACGCUGAAGGCGAAAGCCAGGGGAGCGAACGGG